Molecule: ribosomal RNA, 467 nt
Filed under: uncultured bacterium
Lineage: Bacteria
Description: partial 16S ribosomal RNA
Rfam family: Bacterial small subunit ribosomal RNA
Source: RNAcentral
GACGAACGCUGGCGGCGUGCUUAACACAUGCAAGUCGAACGGAAAGGCCCUGCUUUUGUGGGGUGCUCGAGUGGCGAACGGGUGAGUAACACGUGAGUAACCUGCCCUUGACUUUGGGAUAACUUCAGGAAACUGGGGCUAAUACCGGAUAGGAGCUCCUGCUGCAUGGUGGGGGUUGGAAAGUUUCGGCGGUUGGGGAUGGACUCGCGGCUUAUCAGCUUGUUGGUGGGGUAGUGGCUUACCAAGGCUUUGACGGGUAGCCGGCCUGAGAGGGUGACCGGCCACAUUGGGACUGAGAUACGGCCCAGACUCCUACGGGAGGCAGCAGUGGGGAAUAUUGCACAAUGGGCGGAAGCCUGAUGCAGCAACGCCGCGUGCGGGAUGACGGCCUUCGGGUUGGAAACCGCUUCCGCCUGUGACGAAGCGUGAGUGACGGUAAUGGGUAAAGAAGCACCGGCUAACUACGU